AUUAGAUUUAAUUAUUAAUUUAAUUAAUUUUUGAAAAUAAAUAUUUUUAUUUAAAGUUAUAUUAAUUAUUUUAAUUGUUUUAGUAUUAAAAUUAUAAAUAAUAAUUAUAUUAUAAAAUGUAAGUGAUUUAUGAAUUAAUUUUAAAAAUAUUUAAUUAACAAAGUAAAAUUAAUUUUUUGUACCUUUUGUAUCAGGGUUUAUUAAUUAAAUAUUAUUUAUUAAUAAUUUUCUCGAAUUAAUUAGAGUUAAUAUAUUAUUUAAUUUAAUGUUUAAUUAUUAUUUAUAAUAGUAUAUUAGGGGAGAAAUUCUAGUCAAUAAUUAAGAUAUCUAGUUUUUUUAGAAAUAAAUUUAAUUUAUUUAUUAAGUUUGUUAGUUAAAUAAUAUUUAUUUAAGAUAUUUACUUAAUAAAAAGAGUUUAAGGGAUUAGCUUUAAAUUUUAAUUUAAAAAUAAAAAUAUUAUUUAUAUUUAAUAAAUUAUAGAUUUAAAAAUGGUUUUUAUUUAAAGUUUGUAAUAAUUUAUUAUUAAUUUUAUUAAAAAUAAUUUUUUUUAUUUUAAUUUUUUAUAAAAAUAUUUUAAUUAAUAAAUUUUUAAAAUUAAUAAUGAUAAAAUUAUUAUAUUUAUAAUUUAUGUUUUUAUUAAUUUUAAUUUUUAAAAUUAAUUAUAAGGAACUAGACAAAUUUAAUAUUUACCUGUUUAACAAAAACAUGUCUUUUUGAUUUUAAUUUAAAGUCUAAUCUGCCCACUGAAAUAAUUUUAAAUGGCCGCGGUAUUCUGACCGUGCAAAGGUAGCAUAAUCAUUAGUUUUUUAAUUGAAAGCUUGUAUGAAUGAUUGAAUAAGAUAUUUAUUGUCUCAUAAUUAUUUUAAUUAAAAUUUAAUUUUUAAAUUAAAAAGUUUAAAUUUUAUUAUAGGACGAGAAGACCCUAUAGAUUUUUAUAAUUAAAUUUAUAGUUUUAAUUUAAUUUAUUAAUUAAUUAAAUUUUUAAUUAUUUUGUUGGGGUGACAUUAAAAUUAAAUUAACUUUUAAUUUAAUUGAACAUUAAUUUAUGAAAUUUUAAUAUAUAAAUUAUUUAUAUUAUUUUAUUAUUAUAAUUGAUCCUUAAUUUUAGAUUGUUAAAUUAAAAUACCUUAGGGAUAACAGCGUAAUUUAUUUGGAGAGAUCAUAUUAAUAAAUAAGUUUGCGACCUCGAUGUUGAAUUAAGAUAAUGUUUAGGUGGAGAUACUUAAAUAAUAGGUCUGUUCGACCUUUAAAUUCUUACAUGAUUUGAGUUCAGAUCGGCGUGAGCCAGAUCGGAUUCUAUCCUUAAUUAAUUAAUAAUAUUUUUGUACGAAAGGACUUAAUAUUAUAAAUAUUUUAUGGUUAUUGAAUAACAGUAAAAUUUUAAUU
This is a non-coding RNA of Cephus cinctus (wheat stem sawfly), 1386 nucleotides long. The record is from the annotation of a RefSeq genome assembly. Lineage: Eukaryota; Metazoa; Arthropoda; Insecta; Hymenoptera; Cephidae.